Camellia sinensis is the source of this 572-nucleotide non-coding RNA. NCBI's taxonomy places the organism in Eukaryota, Viridiplantae, Streptophyta, Magnoliopsida, Ericales, Theaceae. The record is from RefSeq and is a predicted model, not a curated record.
GCAAAGUUCCUGCCGAUGCUUUUCUUUCCUCAAGAUGGACCUGUUCUGAAAACUGGUGGGAUCUAGAAAGGGACAGGGAAAAACCCACAAAAUACACAAAGGACAGUCGCUAUUGUGGUGGGAGGAGUGGCUGGUUUUGGGCUUGGAAUUGCCUGUUUGUUGUUUCUAAAAUCAGCUUUUAAGAAGCGAGAAAACAAGUAUGGAGGAUGAUGAUGAGGGUGAGACUACUACUAUUAUGUGCUUAGCUGCUAAGUUGGAGGGGUGUAAUGUAAAAGAGAGAAGUUUUGCUUUUUUGACUCUGUUUUGCAUUCAGAUAUUUCUUCUCCACCUAGUUCCUUUUUCAUUAGUUUUCUUUCUUUUAAACCAAACAGCCCUAUAUGUCUAAAAAAAUACACAUUUUAGUCAUAGUUGGCCUUUUUCUUUUGAAUGUACAUGCACAGAUUGAAAUAUAUAUAUAUAUAUAUCUAUUUGUGAAUAGUAGCUUUUAGUUGGCAUUAAAGGUUUGUUCUCCACUUUUCUACAUAAAGAGCAAUUAUUAGGUAAUUAAACACACAUGUUCAAGUGAAAUUGUG